Molecule: long non-coding RNA, 1259 nt
Organism: Rhineura floridana
Lineage: Eukaryota; Metazoa; Chordata; Lepidosauria; Squamata; Rhineuridae
Exons: 3
Source: RefSeq, a predicted model, not a curated record
CUACAGAAUGCAUGAGAGUCCUGAUAUGGAGUUUUCAAGAAUGAAAAACAAUGUUCUCCAGGAAGAUCAAUCAAUUGAAAAUGCAAAAGAGUCAGUAAUGGCUGCCAUCAUGAGAAAUGUUGCCAAAGGAACAAUUCUUUGUAAAUGUUGAGCCGCUGCUUCCUUUGGAAACAGAAUGGUGCUUUGAGAUGUCACAUUCACCGGCUUGUAACAAGGCCAUCACCUUGCCUUUCUGGCUACCUGCCUGGUUCUAGACAACUUCUAAGCAUAUCUGUACAGCUGAAAAAUGGCUGGGAGUACAUCACCACCGCCUUGGAAGCGCUUGAAAUGAUUGUGGCCAGCCUCAGAUGUUUUCUGACCUGAAGUGAAAAGUCACAUUGAUGGAUGGAUGGAUUCUGCUUUGGACCAUGGUAUUUUUUAUAUAAAAAAAUGACUCACAGAGAUAGAAAUUGGAGGCAAGAAAAAGUGUGCCCUGUAUAGAAUCUGCUGCUUAAGCGACAGCUUCACUGUACUCCAUGUUAAGGCCAGCUCCUCAGACAAAGCUUCAGGGUUGGAGGAAGCAGGGAUGCUACCCAGCACCCAUGUGAGCAGGAGAUGCUCUCUGACUCUUAUGCUUCAGUGUCACGGCAGACCUGAUUGGGAACUGCCUUAAUUAAGCAAGACUGGCAAAGACAAAGUUUGCGCCUUCUGUUUCAAAUUGAUACCGAACCCACACGACACACAGAGAGAAGCCUUCUUGGCGGCCAGCCGACCAGAGAGGAGGGGGCAAUCCAGACCCAUGCCAAUCCAGGCCUGGCAGAGGCCCCAAAGGGGGAACUGGUGCCUCUUAUUUCUUGCAAGGGCCUGUGAUUCCCGCAGGACCCACUGAGGAUUUAACACUACCUGUGCAAGUGUCAUCUUUCAAAUGAGGCGAGUGCUAUCUAAUAUUCCCUGAAUGCUAAGUGAUGGGACAGAAGUCUCAAGUUGUUCACAGCUUGCUCCUGCUGUGCUUGUUGUUGUUAUGUGCCUUCAAGUUGACUAUGACUUAUGGCGACCCUAUGAAAGAGAGACUUCCGGUGGCAUCUCUCAUGGACCACCCUGUUCAGAUCUUGUAAGUUCAGGUCUGUGGCUUCCUUUAUGGAAUCAAUCCAUCUCAUUUGGUCUUCCUCUUUUUCUACUCCCUUCUGUUUCCCCCAGCAUUAUUGUCUUUUCUAGUGAAUCAUGUCUUCUCAUGAUGUGUCCAAAGUAUGAUAACCUCAGUUUCAUCAUUUUAGCUUCUA